AGAGUUUGAUCAUGGCUCAGGACGAACGCUGGCGGCGUGCCUAAUACAUGCAAGUCGAGCGAACAGAUGGGAGCUUGCUCCCUGAUGUUGGCGGCGGACGGGUGAGUAACACGUGGGUAACCUGCCUGUAAGACUGGGAUNAACUCCGGGAAACCGGGGCUAAUACCGGAUGCUUGUUUGAACCGCAUGGUUCAAACAUAAAAGGUGGCUCCGGCUACCACUUACAGAUGGACCCGCGGCGCAUUAGCUAGUUGGUGAGGUAAUGGCUCACCAAGGCAACGAUGCGUAGCCGACCUGAGAGGGUGAUCGGCCACACUGGGACUGAGACACGGCCCAGACUCCUACGGGAGGCAGCAGUAGGGAAUCUUCCGCAAUGGACGAAAGUCUGACGGAGCAACGCCGCGUGAGUGAUGAAGGUUUUCGGAUCGUAAAGCUCUGUUGUUAGGGAAGAACAAGUAUCGUUCGAAUAGGACGGUA
This 477-nucleotide ribosomal RNA is filed under the name Bacillus sp. D-24-25-7. RNAcentral's name for it is "bacterial SSU rRNA". It matches the Rfam family "Bacterial small subunit ribosomal RNA", at positions 8 to 477 of the family's 1533-position model. Lineage: Bacteria; Bacillati; Bacillota; Bacilli; Caryophanales; Bacillaceae. The record is from RNAcentral.